RNAcentral lists this long non-coding RNA (3906 nucleotides) under Felis catus (domestic cat). Its description in RNAcentral is "lncRNA (ENSFCAG00000050005.1)". Lineage: Eukaryota; Metazoa; Chordata; Mammalia; Carnivora; Felidae. The record is from RNAcentral.
GCGGGGGCACUGGCAGUAGGGGACGAGAGCUGAGGAGGUGCAGCAGUCCUUUGGUUUUGUAACGUCGGUCCCAAACAUUUUACCAGCGCUCCUUGGGCCAGCCGCUGGGGAGCCAGAGCUUCCCUAGCCCAGCCAUAGAGCGGCUGCGUGUCCGGGGAACCGACCACUGCAAACCCAGCGCCGUUGUUACAGCUUUCAGGAUGUCAGAACGCCGAGGGGUCCAGAGAGGGCGCCCGCACUCCUGCAGCCUCCGGUUUUCAUCUCUGGACGAUGUGAUACUACCUGCUCCCACCUCUGCAGACCCUGGAAGUCACAGUGACCAGAAGUGCAGAGGGAAAGGAGUCAGAAAGGUGAGCCCUUUCCAACACCAUACCCACAAAGCUCACACAUUCAAGUGCAGACUCAGACUCAGAAAGUUGGGCGGGUACCGCGAAGAUGCACACAUAGAGCCACUAUUGAUUCACGGAGGUGCUCUCACCUCCGUUUUACACCUGGCCAAACGGAGCCUCAAAGAGGUGGUGACUUCCUCAAGCUCGAGGACCUAAUAAGAGGCAGAGCCAUGUUCCAAGCCCAAAGAGGCUGGCUUCACAGGUAUUUAACCAUCAGUGUAUGCCUGUCCUCCUCAGUAGCCUAUAGUAGAUGAAUAACAGUGGUGCACACUAAGUGCUCAGUAAAUGUCAUCUGUCACUAGGGUCAUUGUUCUGAUUUUACAGGUAAGACUGAGGUGGAGAGAAGCCAAAUAACUGAUCCGAGUCAAAGCCAGAGCCCCAGAUCCAGGAAUACCUUUACAGACACCCCAUCCUCCCCCCAUGUCCACAAACACUUCUUUUUAGGGGAGCCAAAGCUUGGAGCUCAGAUGCGAGGGCGAUGUGUUCGGGCAUGACCUGAGCAGAGAGGACUUGGCAGGGAGCCCAUCAGUCCCCACCCUGAGUUGUGAGGCUCUGGGCUCAGAUCUCUGAUGCUCUGUGGUAGCUAGGAGGUCUGCAUCCUGAGCUGGCUCUACCAGGCUGUGCUGUGUGUCCCUGGGUGAUCCCUCAAUCUCUGUGUUCUGCAAACUCCACCUGGGAAGGCUGUUGGGCCCUGUGUCUGGAGGAGGACUUGAGGGGUCCUAGAAGAAAGGAGUGGGGUGCUUUCUGACCCUGAGGGAGGAAUGGAAGCAGCCAGCUGUCCAAGCUCUUGGCUGGCGGGGGGGAGGGGGUCCCCUCCCCACUUCUUCCUGCCAAAGUGGAAUCCCUCGCAUCUCAAGAGGAGGCUUGGGGGUGGAAGCUGGAAAGUAACAUCCAGUGUUACACUAGGCACUAGGAGGCACUAGGAUUUGAAUCCUCUGCUGCUUAUCCACCUUUGAGCCUCCAUGGUCUACUCUUGCCUUUGGACAUCUGUGCUUUUGACCAUUGAGCAACCUUUGCGGACUCUGCUUUGGCAUUUGUAUUGGUUCUGGUGUGAGAUUAGAAUGUGAUCGCAGGUUUGCCCCUUGAUGGCUGAGGCAUAUCCCCUCACCCAUUUCCUCAUCUGCAAAACGCUGGCACCUAGCUCUUAGGUCAUUGGGAGGACCAGUGAAAAGAUGACUAGGAUGGGACUUGCUUAGACUGUGCAGGAGACCCUAGAACUCGAAUUUCUCCACAGAACCUCACUGCAGAUGCUUGGGUCAAGAGUGAGCCGCUCCCACCUGUGGCUUCUGGAGCCCACUGGGCCACACUUCCCCAGAUCUGAGGCAAGGAGAGGCACUUCCUGAGCCACUGUCCUCAGCUGUGAGAUGAAAACACAACCUGUCUUCAAGCGGGCAGGGGUGGAGUUGGGUGGAGUGAUGAGAAUGAGGCACACAGGUGUGCAGGCCACAUCGCCACAUUGGGAUUCCAGAGCAGAGGACCUGGGGGUUAACCUGAGGGGAGAUUUCACAGGAAAACAGACUCGUGGCUUCUCUGGAAAAUCUGGUAAAAUUGAGCCUCCUUCCCACUUCCUCCAGAGUGAUUCUGCAUGUGCCCGGGAAGGUAUUUCAGAUCAGGAGGAGAUGUGUUACUGGCCUCUGGCCGUGGGGGAUCCCUGAGGGGCUGUGAGGAUUUGCUGAGGGCCUCUCAGGGGAGUAAGAGGGUCAUCAUGAGAGAAGACAGGGCAGGGUUUUCCUGGGCCUGUAGUAUCAGAAGUAAGAGUCAAGCCCAGAGCCCCUUCCUUGGGCAUCCACCACCCAGUGUGAGCCAGCCCCUGCUGGGGUGGGGGAGCAGCCCCAUGGAGAUAGCUAAUGCUGUCAUGAUGCAAUCUGGUAGCAGUCUUGCUGUGUAAUAAGGAAGCCAAAGCAGCUGAGUGCCGGAAGACAGGUCAGGGGGGUUCCGAGGAGGCAGUCUUUGAGCUGAACUUCAAAGGUUGAGCAGGAUUUUGCCAGAGCUAAGGGGUGAUGAUGUUUUAAGUAGAAUUGUAUAGUCAGAGGUUUAGUAGCUUUAAAGUACAUGACUUGAUUGUGGGUGAAUGCUUUCUCAGGGUGGAGUGGCCUCACUGUUCUCAGUGUGGCCUUGGGCAAAUCAUUUCACUCCUUAGGCCUCGGAUCCUCACCCAUAAAAUAAGGCCUUCCAAUGAAGACUGGAUGGUAGUGCAUUUAAAAAUUCUGGAUCCCCUUAGACCAGAGGGGAUUAUGGAGACAUGCAGCAAAAUGACUGACAGGGCUGUGUGCGAAUUAAAUGGUAUGAAGUGAAGGUUAGGGUAGGUCUGGGCCUGAGUUCAGAGAUGAGGGAGUUCAGUACAAAAUGGAGACCCCAGAGCUUCCUGUAAGAGGUGAGAUGAGAACAGAGCCCCAAGGACAGAGAAGAAGAAUAGACUGAUAGAAAGGAAGAGGGGGGGUAUCUCAGGCAGGGAAGGUCAGCGGGUGCACCAUCAUGGUUGUGGGAGAAGGACUGGGGAGAGGUGAGCCUGAAAGGGUGGGGGAAGUUUGUUAAUUAUAGCCCGAAAGGCAGGCAGCAGGGAGCCAUUGCAGGUUCUGUCCCUACAGAGGCAAGCAGGAGGGUGGUUUUAACAAUGUAGCAUCUUCCAAUGAGGGAAAGAUUUUCUAGUUGCUUUUACAUAGUGGGAAAAAUAGAAGGUUGGGAGGGAUAUAGGAGAAGGGAGAGUUGAUGAUAAGGAAGUGGGUUAGAGAAAGGUAUCAUCGUGUACUUUCCCAUUCAUUCUCAAGCACGCCUAGUUUUAACUGAUGGAUAGAGUUUGGCAGGUAACAUCUGUAGUACUGCAUCACGAACUUGAUCUCCUGUGCUUAGACAUCUGCAAACCACCCUUGGGUACCAUCUUCGUUGCAUUGCUGGCUGCACAUCCACAGUGCUGUAACAGAUUGUUGCUGGUCUAAACAACACUUGGAUAAGCAUCUCUGUUCCCCAAACCUCCUUCUGGAUUGUUUCCAUUGGAUACCUUUCCUGAAGGGAGAUUUUCUGACUUUAAGGGAACUGAUGUUUUAAUGCCUUUUUUUAAAGUAUGUUUUUUAAGUUGUUAAUGUUUACUUUUGAGAGAGAGUGACAGAGAGAGAGAAUGUGAACAGGGGAGGGGCAGACAGAGAGGAAGACAGAAUUUGAAGCAGGUUCCAGGCUCUGAGCUGUCAGCACAGAGCCUGACGUUGGGCUCGAACUCGGACUGUGAGAUCGUGACCUGAGCUGAAGUCAGACGCUUAACCAACUGAGCCACCCAGGCGCCCCUGUUUUAAUGCUUUACAAGAUUUAAAACAUACCUUUACAGUAAUUUUCUUCACGAUUUUCUAUAGGCUAUACUGUACAUGUUUUUUUCUCUUUAUUGUUAUUUUUUCAUCAUGAAGAGUGUACUCUUUAACCCCCAUACCCUAUUUCACCCAUCUUCCUCCCCAAAUUGUACAGGGUUUUUUAAAAAGAGCAAAUGUACACAAGCAUAUACAAUAAAAAGUCUGUCCUCCUGACCCCA